This 237-nucleotide ribosomal RNA is filed under the name uncultured bacterium. RNAcentral describes it as "partial 16S ribosomal RNA". It matches the Rfam family "Bacterial small subunit ribosomal RNA", at positions 96 to 334 of the family's 1533-position model. The record is from RNAcentral.
UGGCGAACGGGUGAGUAACACGUGAGUAACCUGCCCCAGACUCUGGGAUAACUUCGGGAAACCGUAGCUAAUACCGGAUAUGACACGGAGAGGCCUCUCUACCGUGUGGAAAGUUUUUCGGUCUGGGAUGGACUCGCGGCCUAUCAGCUUGUUGGUGAGGUAAUGGCUCACCAAGGCGACGACGGGUAGCCGGCCUGAGAGGGCGAUCGGCCACACUGGGACUGAGACACGGCCCAG